GGAAAUAAACAGUUAAUGAUCCUGCCGUCAACCCGCACACACACACAGACAGUGAGAGGGAGCCGGGGCCGCGCUCCUGACCGGGAUGAAUCCUGCGGCUGCGGCCGAUCUGGUCUUGCUGCAUGUUCUCGCCCCGGCUCUGGAGGAGAGAGCCGGCGGUUCCAGGUCGGAGCCGGGCUCCGGGUUGGGAUUGAAGCCGUUUUCCGGGAGCCGCCGCUCGCUACAAGAUGCCGCCUGCAAACUGCAACCUUUCGGCUUCCCCGCAACAAAAGGAUCGCGGCCGCAGCUGAUGGUUUUCCGUAACUUAGUGCGGCCGGAGGAUGGGGGCCCGGGCCCGGGGAGCGCCAACAGCUCCGCCGGGGCUCGCCGGCUCACGAUCAAUUGUUGCCCCCGGGAUGAAGCUCGCUCUCCCCCCGGUUCCCCGAGAGCUGGAGGCGGCGGCUGCUGCUGCCCCCGGCGGCAGGAGCGGGUCUGCUUCGACCUGGCCCGGGACUUCGGCGACUUCUCGGUAGCGCCGCCGGAAUGGAAGUGCUCGGAGUCGGCCGAGGGGGGCGCGGUGCCCGGGGACGGGGACAGCUCCAGCAGCCGCGGGGCCCGCUCCCCGAACGAGGAGCCGACCGACACCAGCGACGCGGUGCUGGUGCUGGAAGGGAUCGAGCCCGGGAUGGAGCCCCAGCUCGAGGCCGCGGAGGAGAGCGGCUGCCCCGGGGCAGACUCUCCUGCUGCUGCUGCCGCCGCCUGUCCCCGGCUGGCCGAGCCGGAGAGCCCUGGAGGGCUGCCCAAGGUCCGGCUGAGCCGCUGCUCCAGCUCCCCCAGCCCAUCGCUGCAGAGGGACGGCGACGAGAAGCUGCUGAGCCGCCUGCCCGUUAAAAACCGCAGGAGCUCCCUGAAAAUCCGCCUCGGCAAACUGUUCCGCGCCAAAAGCUGCAAUGGCAACAGUGACCCUGCAGCGAAAAGACAUUCCGUGGAGCUGGACACAUCGGCCGGCUGCCUGGUGGAAAUCUCCCAGCUGCAGGAAGGCUACACCAUCAGAAGCAAGCCCAGGCUGACACGGACACAAAGUGCCUUCACCCCGGUGUCUUUAGCAUCACCUUUUGCAGGGGAAACUGUGUCACUGGUCGACCUGGACAUCUCUCGCCGUGGACCCCCCUCGCCUCAUCCGCCAACACCACCACCCCCACCCCGUCGGAGCCUCAGCCUUCUCGACGACAUCGUGGGGCCACAAGCUCUGUCUUACCCAGUGAACCCAGCUGCUGCUAGUUUACAGUCACUGCCUCUCCCACCACCUCCCCCACCACACACUUCCAUCCAGCUCAGUCUCAGCUUAAACGACACCUUGCAGAGAAACUCGCCUCAAAUUCGGCCGAUGACUGUGCAGCCACAGCACUGCAUGUUUAACAGGAGGGACUCCAACACCUUUGCAGCCAGUUUGCGGGAACUUGAAAAGUGUGGCUGGUAUUGGGGUCCGAUGAACUGGGACGAUGCUGAAAUGAAGUUGAAGGGUAAACCAGAUGGUUCGUUCCUGGUGCGGGACAGCUCGGACCCGCGUUACAUCCUCAGCCUCAGCUUUCGCUCGCAAGGAAUUACGCAUCACACCAGGAUGGAACAUUAUCGAGGAACUUUCAGCCUCUGGUGUCAUCCGAAAUUUGAAGACCGAUGUCAGUCUGUUGUUGAGUUCAUUGAAAGGGCCAUCAUGCAUUCUAAAAAUGGGAAAUUUCUGUACUUUCUCCGCUCGCGUGUUCCUGGUUUGCCACCGACCCCAGUGCAGCUCCUUUACCCUGUCUCCCGUUUCAGCAAUGUGAAGUCCCUGCAGCACCUCUGUCGCUUCCGAAUCCGACAGCUUGUCAGGAUAGACCACAUCCCGGAACUCCCACUCCCAAAACCCCUCAUAUCGUAUCUGCGGAAGUUUUACUAUUAUGACCCUGAAGAGGAAGCCUACCUUUCUCUGCGGGAAGCUCGGCUCUGCAUCACUCACGAACAGGACAUGGACACCCAGACGUAGCUGUCCCAGGAAUAUUGCUUGAACCAUCUGAAACAAGUUGGAGGGUUACCAAGGGCACUGCGAAUGGCACAGUCUGACCAGAUUGCUAUGUCAGGGGCCACUUAUGACAGAGGGAUGCUCGUCGACUUUCCUGAAAUGCUCCUUAUUCCUGAAGCUUAUUUCAACCCGUUGCUCGCUCCAAAAAGUGGUGUGGUGGAGGGAGGGGAGGAGGAUGCAUUGGGGAAGUGACAGAAUUCCUCCUGGAAUACGCCUGGAUGGGACAGGACAAUCGAAUGAUGGAUGAUGGAUUUGCACUUUCUGCUGAGAAAGACUGGUGUUACUAACUCGCAGCUAUUUGCUGGGGAGGCAAAUGUUCUCCUGAACCCAGGGACGUUCCAGGUGUUUUGUGCUGAGAUGCCUAACUCUGAAUGAAUGCCUGGAUGGGUUAUAUUGCACAAAUUUUGUUUUUCAUUAAUUUAUGGAUUAAACUACUGUUUAUAUAUUCACAGACUGUUUAAUGUGGAGCUUGCAGAAACCACUUGAAGUUUACUCUUAGAAUCAUGAUAUGAUUCUAGCACGGAAAGAGGCCAGUCAGCCUACUGUGUCCCAGCUGGCUCCCUGCAGGACAUUGAUCUUCAAUUCUGAGAAAACCCCACCCAGGAGCAUCGGCAGUGAUGAUGAACCCAGUGAGUCAACAAAACAGAGUUCAUUUCCUUUAUUCCCCCACAUUCUUGGCCCUCAGUGAAUCUGUCAACUUCAGAUUUACCUCGUGCUAAAGAAUCUCUGAGGAACAUUGGGACAGGAGCAGGCCAUUUAGUUCCUUUGCAUGCUUGCUGUGCUGAGCUUAUGUUCUGCAGUCACCCACAGUAUCCAUAUAUGUGAAAAGUGCUUUUAGAUCUAGUUUCUGAAUAGUCGGAAAUGUAUAUCAAGGGUAAAAGCAGAAAGAAGCCAUAUGCCUAACUCAUCAAUUUUUCACAAACCUUCUUCAACCCUACCUCAUCUCAAUUAAACAACACACGCUUCAAUUCCUUCCUCUCAUCUGAACUUGUGUAGCUUUGCUCUAAAUGUGGAUCUCUGCUAUUGGCAUCGUGGUGGUGAGUUCUGCAUCCUAACCCCUCCCUGUAUGAAGAUGCUUCUUGUGAAUUUCCUGUUGGAUUUGUGGGUGAUUAACUUGUGUCUGUGAAGCCUAAUUUGGACCCAUCUGCACCCACAAAAACAACACCUGUAUCUCUACCUCAUCAUACACCUUUGUGAUUUUUAAAGCCUCCACCAGGUUACUCCUUAGCCCAUGAUCUUUCUUGACUUAGAAUCCCCUUUUGUACGCUUCUCAUUCAGAGUCUCUUACAGAUUCAUAUAUUAUGGCUCCCAAAGCCCCUGCCACUUAGAGACACAGGAGUCAAAUCUGAAUUCAGACAUUUGCAAUGUGUGUUAAUCCAGACUAAGAGUCAUGGGCUGAGUGGGUACAAUGUCCUGGGAUAGUACAGCUCUCAAUGGCCUGUGACACUCGAGAUAACCCACACAAGUGAUGUUUUGUACAAUCAGUAAAGUGUACCAGAAUUCAACUUACUGACAUGAUGGCACUGUAAAAUGGUGGAAAUCCCCACCCCACCACCGCCUCCACUUCAAAACGAAUCUGGGCUGAUCCACUUGCCAUUGUACUGAAUCCAGGGGAUGGGGUUCCUCAAGUGUCCAGUUUUUGCUCUGGAUUCUCAACCCUCCAGGAAUUAAAGAUUAAUCUCUGGCCUUGGCAUGCAAUAGCCAGAAGAAAAAUCAUUGGUGAGGGUGGGGUGGGUGCGUGAGAUGGAAAAAACAGUUUUUUUCCCCAAUUUCAUUGAACGCUUUUCCCUGUUAAUAUUGAAAAUGAUAGAAAGAACUGUUUUGCUGAGCAAGAUCAUUAGCGGGGAUAGGUCAGUGAUGAAAUCUUCAAGUAAAUGUCCAACCAGAAUAUUUUUUGAUAUAAAACAUCAUUUUUGCUCCUAUAUCAACUGCCCCAACCUUUCCAAAUGGAUAAAUCAUGAUAACAAGAAGCAAAAAAUGAAAAUUCUAACCAUAAUUACGUUCCCUGUCUUGUGGAGUUCGAGAGUGGGAUACUCUGUCGACCAGUAGUGAUAAAAGCCCACUCCUUGCAAAAGGAAAGUUUUAACCUUUGUAGCCAUCAAAGUUUGAGUUCACUAAACCUUGCAACUUGAAUUCUUUCUGCAAUGAAGCUUUUCAUCUUUUAUUAAAUUACUUGCUGCCUCAAAUAAUUUGAAUUUUUGAAAACUUUACAAAUAAGUGGUGCCACCCCUAAGAGCCUUUUGACCAAGAUGUUGUCUUCCUGCAGCAGCCCUAUUGUAGAAGACCAGUCAUGAGAAUAUGUCCUUUUCUGAUUUUGUUAGUUAUAAGAACAUUAGACAGGAUGGGAUGAUUUGACGAGGAGAAAGGGGUCGCAUGAUAAAAUCUCCAGGAAUAGAUUACAAAUCACACUAGACUUCACAACCAUAAUCAUACUAAGAUACAACUUGGUUUUGAAUUCUGUUGUGAAAUGUGAGUGGAUGUUUAUCCAGAGAGUGUUAUUUACGUUUAAGUGUCAAUUAUACAUUUAAGUCUGUUGUGCAGUGACCAUGUAAUGCGGGAAUAAGUGAUGCCCUAUGCUGGUCUAUGUCUGGAACUUGCAUUCACAAAAGUAAAACCUUUAAUAACAUUACGAUUCUGGGAAAUAAGUGCACACACAUCAAACUGAGAUGUCAGCAGUUUAGAAAAUGCUUUUUGUCACAAUGGAUUAUAAAUCAUGGUAUUUUUGGGGCUCCAGUAUCAAACACUCCAGAAUUCAGCAUAGACAGGGCUAUCAUACAAUCAUGCAGAUUCAAGGCAAUUCAGACUGAUCAGUUUUUAAAAAGUGCAGUCCAAUUAGUUCAUUUUCUUCAUGCUGUACAAAUGAUCCAUGUUCACUAAAGUACUCUUGAUUCUUAUUCCACUGUCCCUUCAAACAAUGCAUUUCAGAUUCCAUAACUCACUGCACAAUAAAAAUAAAUCUCCUUAUGUUUUUCCUCCUCCUAUUUAUGUUAAAUCGUGUUUUCUGGUUAGAUGCAGAACAAAGCUCUCUUAAAUAACUUCUAAUCUAACCUCAAGACCUCCUACCUGUGCCACAUGUAGGAAUAUUUUCCAUUUGCCACAUUGGCUUUUCAAGGCCAUUUGGCCCUUUCUCACCAGUAGUGUCCCACGCUGAUGCUUCACAAACUGAAAUGUGGACAAGGUUUUUCACAGCGAGCCUAGGGCCCAGUAGGCUCUUUCAGAAAUUGUGCAGAUUAAUUUUAAAGCGGACUGUUAUCCCUUUGCUGAGCCUUGCCCCUUUUGGUUUGGGCAAAAAGCACAAACCACAGUCUCCAUAUCAAAAGACAAAUUCUUCCAAAAUAUUUAAAUUGGUUCAGUAUCUGUGUGACCAACUGAGGAUUUUCCUUUUGUGAAAAUAGUCCUGGACAAAUCAUAAAACAAAAAGCUGUAUCCCUUUACAAAUGGCCUUGCCUGUUAAAUCUAGAUAUAUUUUGUGAUUGAUGCAAAAUCAAUGCAGACUAACUGUGACUGUCCACUCUAUUGAUAUUUUGUACAUACUCUGUUAAUAAGCAUGUAUGUCCUUUUAAUAUAUAGAGGACUUUGGAACAAUCAGUGCUGAUGUCAGAGGGAGUUGAGUGUAAAUGUAUCAACCCUUGUUUUGUAAAUGUUGAAAAAAUGCAGUUGAUUAUGUAUUGUGGAUUUGUAUUGAAUUUCUAUUCUUGAAGCUACUGACAUUUUAAAAAAAAAAGACUUGUACAGAUUGGAGUCUGAGUAAAACUUAUAAACUAAUUGAUUUAAAAUUA
RNA transcript from Stegostoma tigrinum, 5817 nucleotides. It is a transcript of the gene named suppressor of cytokine signaling 7, with no coding region annotated. The record is from RefSeq and is a predicted model, not a curated record. Lineage: Eukaryota; Metazoa; Chordata; Chondrichthyes; Orectolobiformes; Stegostomatidae. The transcript has 11 exons.